This is a non-coding RNA of Myotis davidii, 73 nucleotides long. The record is from Rfam. Lineage: Eukaryota; Metazoa; Chordata; Mammalia; Chiroptera; Vespertilionidae.
GGCAGUUCUCGGGUGACGCACCCCAGAAUCGGUCUCCCUCCUCUCUGGUUCUGGGUGUCAUCCGAGAACUACA